AUUGAACGCUGGCGGCAGGCCUAACACAUGCAAGUCGAACGGUAACAGGAAUCAGCUUGCUGAUUUGCUGACGAGUGGCGGACGGGUGAGUAAUGUCUGGGAAACUGCCUGAUGUAGGGGGAUAACUACUGGAAACGGUAGCUAAUACCGCAUAACGUCGCAAGCCCAAAGAGGGGGACCUUCGGGCCUCUUGCCAUCGGAUGUUCCCAGAUGGGAUUAGCUAGUAGGUGGGGUAAAGGCUCACCUAGGCGACGAUCCCUAGCUGGUCUGAGAGGAUGACCAGCCACACUGGAACUGAGACACGGUCCAGACUCCUACGGGAGGCAGCAGUGGGGAAUAUUGCACAAUGGGCGGAAGCCUGAUGCAGCCAUGCCGCGUGUAUGAAGAAGGCCUUCGGGUUGUAAAGUACUUUCAGCGGGGAGGAAGGGAGUAAAGUUAAUACCUUUGCUCAUUGACGUUACCCGCAGAAGAAGCACCGGCUAACUCCGUG
Molecule: ribosomal RNA, 490 nt
Filed under: uncultured bacterium
Lineage: Bacteria
Description: partial 16S ribosomal RNA
Rfam family: Bacterial small subunit ribosomal RNA
Source: RNAcentral